RNAcentral lists this transfer RNA (86 nucleotides) under Bacillota bacterium. Its description in RNAcentral is "Firmicutes bacterium (anaerobic digester metagenome) tRNA-Leu". It matches the Rfam family "tRNA". From Rfam's summary of the family: Transfer RNA (tRNA) molecules are approximately 80 nucleotides in length. The record is from RNAcentral. Lineage: Bacteria; Bacillati; Bacillota. RNAcentral also lists the same sequence under 1 other name.
GCGAGAGUGGCGGAACGGCAGACGCGCCAGGUUCAGGACCUGGUGGGAGCAAUCCCGUGGGGGUUCAAAUCCCUUCUCUCGCACCA